CAAUGCCGCGUGAGUGAAGAAGGCCUUCGGGUUGUAAAGCUCUUUUGUCAGGGAAGAAACGGUGGAGGUUAAUACCUUCCACUAAUGACGGUAACCUGAAGAAUAAGCACCGGCUAACUACGUGCCAGCAGCCGCGGUAAUACGUAGGGUGCAAGCGUUAAUCGGAAUUACUGGGCGUAAAGCGUGCGCAGGCGGUUUUGUAAGUCUGAUGUGAAAUCCCCGGGCUCAACCUGGGAAUUGCAUUGGAGACUGCAAGGCUAGAAUCUGGCAGAGGGGGGUAGAAUUCCACGUGUAGCAGUGAAAUGCGUAGAGAUGUGGAGGAACACCGAUGGCGAAGGCAGCCCCCUGGGUCAAGAUUGACGCUCAUGCACGAAAGCGUGGGGAGCAAACAGGAUUAGAUACCCUGGUAGUCCACGCCCUAAACGAUGUCUACUAGUUGUCGGGUUUUAAUUAACUUGGUAACGCAGCUAACGCGUGAAGUAGACCGCCUGGGGAGUACGGUCGCAAGAUUA
RNAcentral lists this ribosomal RNA (512 nucleotides) under uncultured Pseudomonadota bacterium. RNAcentral describes it as "bacterial SSU rRNA". It matches the Rfam family "Bacterial small subunit ribosomal RNA", at positions 392 to 896 of the family's 1533-position model. The record is from RNAcentral. Lineage: Bacteria; Pseudomonadati; Pseudomonadota.